UCCUCCGUGGCGCAAUUGGCUAGCGCGUUCGGCUGUUAUUGCGAUAAUAGUUGUACCGGAAGGUUGGUGGUUCGAGCCCACCCGGGGGAG
This 90-nucleotide transfer RNA is filed under the name Piedraia hortae CBS 480.64. It matches the Rfam family "tRNA". Rfam says of the family: Transfer RNA (tRNA) molecules are approximately 80 nucleotides in length. The record is from Rfam by way of RNAcentral. Lineage: Eukaryota; Fungi; Ascomycota; Dothideomycetes; Capnodiales; Piedraiaceae.